AACGAACGCUGGCGGCAUGCCUAACACAUGCAAGUCGAACGAGACCUUCGGGUCUAGUGGCGCACGGGUGCGUAACGCGUGGGAACCUGCCCUUAGGUUCGGAAUAACUCCCCGAAAGGGGUGCUAAUACCGGAUAAUGUCUUCGGACCAAAGAUUUAUCGCCUUUGGAUGGGCCCGCGUUGGAUUAGCUAGUUGGUAGGGUAAAAGCCUACCAAGGCGACGAUCCAUAGCUGGUCUGAGAGGAUGGUCAGCCACACUGGGACUGAGACACGGCCCAGACUCCUACGGGAGGUAGCAGUGGGGAAUAUUGGACAAUGGGCGAAAGCCUGAUCCAGCAAUGCCGCGUGAGUGAUGAAGGCCUUAGGGUUGUAAAGCUCUUUUACCCGGGAUGAUAAUGACAGUACCGGGAGAAUAAGCUCCGGCUAACUCCGUG
RNAcentral lists this ribosomal RNA (433 nucleotides) under uncultured bacterium. RNAcentral's name for it is "partial 16S ribosomal RNA". It matches the Rfam family "Bacterial small subunit ribosomal RNA", at positions 29 to 507 of the family's 1533-position model. The record is from RNAcentral.